This 465-nucleotide ribosomal RNA is filed under the name uncultured bacterium. RNAcentral describes it as "partial 16S ribosomal RNA". It matches the Rfam family "Bacterial small subunit ribosomal RNA", at positions 28 to 507 of the family's 1533-position model. The record is from RNAcentral.
GACGAACGCUGGCGGCGUGCUUAACACAUGCAAGUCGAACGGAAAGGCCCCUUUGGGGGUACUCGAGUGGCGAACGGGUGAGUAACACGUGAGUAACCUGCCCUUGACUUCGGGAUAACUUCAGGAAACUGGGGCUAAUACCGGAUAGGAAUCCUUGCUGCAUGGUGGGGGUUGGAAAGCUUCUGCGGUUUGGGGUGGACUCGCGGGUUAUCAGCUUGUUGGUGGGGUAGUUGCUUACCAAGGGUUUGACGGGUAGCCGGCCUGGGAGGGCGACCGGCCACAUUGGGACUGAGAUACGGCCCAGAACCCUAAGGGGGGGAGGAGGGGGGAAUAUUGCCCAAUGGGCGGAAGCCUGAUGCAGCAACGCCGCGUGGGGGAUGAAGGGCUUCGGGUUGUAAACCGCUUUCAGCAGGGGCGAAGCUUGUGGUGACGGUACCUGCAGAAGAAGCACCGGCUAACUACGUG